RNAcentral lists this unclassified non-coding RNA (229 nucleotides) under plant metagenome. Its description in RNAcentral is "partial contains small subunit ribosomal RNA, internal transcribed spacer 1, and 5.8S ribosomal RNA". The record is from RNAcentral.
UCUCCGUAGGUGAACCUGCGGAGGGAUCAUUACAGAGUUCAUGCCCUACCGGGUAGAUCUCCCACCCUAUGUUAAUAUUACUUUGUUGCUUUGGCGGGCCGUUAGGCUCCGGCCCGACUACCGGCCCCGGCUGGUAAGCGCCCGCCAGAGGACCCAAAACCCUGAAUAUUAGUGUCGUCUGAGUACUAUAUAAUAGUUAAAACUUUCAACAACGGAUCUCUUGGUUCUG